AUGAAUCCACUGAUUGUUGUUGCUUCUGUUAUCACUGCUGGGUUGACCGUUGGGCUUGCUUCUAUUGGACCUGGAGUUUGUCAAGGCACAGCUGCAGGGCAAGCUGUAGAAGGGAUUACGAGACAACCGGAAGCAGAGGAUAAAAUACGGCGUACUUUAUUACUUAGUUUGGCUUUUAUGGAAGCUUUAACUAUUUAUGGGCUGGUUGUAGCAUUAGCUAUUUUAUUUGCAAACCCUUUUGUUUAA
This 246-nucleotide long non-coding RNA is filed under the name Vicia faba (fava bean). The record is from RNAcentral. Lineage: Eukaryota; Viridiplantae; Streptophyta; Magnoliopsida; Fabales; Fabaceae.